Molecule: transfer RNA, 59 nt
Filed under: Labidocera rotunda
Lineage: Eukaryota; Metazoa; Arthropoda; Copepoda; Calanoida; Pontellidae
Description: tRNA-Ser
Source: RNAcentral
UGAGUGAUUAAAAAAUUUGGACUUCUAAUCUUUAAUUAAAGCUUUUUGUUUACACUCUC